GGAAGGUGUGUGCCUGCCAAUCACUCUAUAGGAAAGGAUGUACCUUUGAAGAGGAACUUUCUGGACCCUCUUAAUUCUGCCAUCAGUGCAGCUCUUCCAGAUAGAGCUUUGGAGCCAAACCCUUCUGAUGAUCCAAGGGCAAGCACAGUCUUCUUGCAAAAAUCUCAAACAGAUGGUGAGACGACACUGUUUUUUCCACCAAGAAGACGACUGAAAACUCUCUGUCAUAAUGAGUGUAUUAUAGAAAGCAUUUAGAGAAACUUACAUUGGUUUAAAAUUUUCAACUUUUCAUAUAUUCACUUGUCCUAUUUUAAUGUGUGAAAUACUUCUCUUUAGUUGUUACUGUGUGAGUGAAAACAUGUAAACUUUCUGUUUAUACAUUUUGCUACCUUUUGGCAACACCAUUUGUCAUGUGAUUUAAGAGUAGUCAUAGAUUUAUCUUUAUUCAUAAUUUUUUAUUCAUAUUUUUUGUCUUUCGCCCUUUUUCCCUUGCUCCAAAGAGUUCAUUUUAAUGAUGAAUGAUAGAAUUUAGGCUUCAGCUUGAUCUUUAUUUAAACAAAUAAAAAAACCAUUUGUUCAUCAA
Homo sapiens (human) is the source of this 583-nucleotide long non-coding RNA. Lineage: Eukaryota; Metazoa; Chordata; Mammalia; Primates; Hominidae. The record is from Ensembl.